This is a long non-coding RNA of Symphalangus syndactylus (siamang), 1313 nucleotides long. RefSeq lists it as uncharacterized. Lineage: Eukaryota; Metazoa; Chordata; Mammalia; Primates; Hylobatidae. The record is from RefSeq and is a predicted model, not a curated record.
GCUGGGAACAGAAGCCAUUUUGUGAAGCUCAGUGGUUGUCAAAGAUGAACUGGAACUAAAAUUGCACAUUUUGGUAUCAAGAUGGUGCUGCCUUCACAGAAUGAGUUAAGAAGGAGGCCUUCUUCCUCAAUAUUUUUGGAAGAGUUUUGAUAUGUGAUUGAGUUAAGAAUGACAAAAGAAAUCCAUACAGCCCGAAAACUGGCAUCUUGCACUUAUGAAAACUUGGACAGCAUUUUUCUAAAGACGGAUGAAUUUAAGGUUAUAGAGUACCUCCUGCAGGAGAUUCCUGAAUGAAACUGGAACUGAAUGAGAAUUGUAAGCAACCCACCAUGGUGUGCUACUUACUGGAUCCUUUCAGAGCAUCUGCUGACCUCAUGUUAGUGAACUAUUCAUCGUCUCACUCCACUAUGCCUCCUGCCCCACAUCCACAACACAUAAAGCAUGUUAUUUUUGGUCCUAUUAAUUGUGAAAUCUAGGAAACUGAGUCAUAGACUUUGAUUUAAUUUGUCAUUGAUGCAGUCUAAUUUUUAGCAGUGCUGGAAAGAGAUAGACUAAUGGAAACUUUGAAUAAAUAUUUUUAACACACCAUUGUUAGAUCUUCUGAGAUAAUGUCCAUAACUUUAAACCAGUAUGUUACAAGUCUAAAAUUUGGGAGUUUAUCAAUUACAUAGAAAUGAGAAAUUAUGAAAUAUGAUAUUGAUAUAUCAGGCUGGUUCUUUUUGCAGCCAGCUGGAUCAUAUAAUUAUAGCAGAAUUACCAACUUGUUCAAACUCUGGUUUUUUUUUCUCAUAUGCCAGAUAAACAUCCUAAAUAGUCUGGAGGAACUAAUGCUGAGUAGUGAGAUACAAAUCACUGAAGGAAACUUUUAACUGCUAAUAUUUCAAAGUUUUUCUUUGGAAAAACAUGGAAAUGUGAAUGAUUUCUGAUCUGUGUAAUACUUAAGUGCAUUUUGCUUGCCUUUCAGGCAAUUUAUUCUACUUAGCACAAGAUAGUAUAUAUUAUCAUAAAUUAAGAUGAUUUCAGAAAGAUGGAAAACUAGUUCAAAAAAGCAAUUCUUUAAAAGUUCACACGCAAUUCUAGAGCAUUUAGAAAGAGGACUUUGGAGAUUUAAGAGUAACAAGCUUUGUGUUAGUAGUGGUAUAAGCCUGGCCCUGUUUACAAGUAAAUCAAUAACAAAAUCAGCCUAUUACCACAUCUACAGUUUUAAUAGAUAAUUGCACUAUGGGACUUGUCUUUUUAAAAAGAAAAUCUUGAGUUUGUAGCUUAACUUUUGAAAUUUGUACUAAAAUAAAUGCAUCUAUGAAAUCUACAAA